GGGCGAUUAGCUUAGCGUUAGAGCAUCUCGUUUACACCGAGAGGGUCGGCGGUUCGAUCCCGUCAUCGCCCA
RNAcentral lists this transfer RNA (72 nucleotides) under Acetobacter oeni LMG 21952. RNAcentral's name for it is "tRNA-Val". It matches the Rfam family "tRNA". Rfam says of the family: Transfer RNA (tRNA) molecules are approximately 80 nucleotides in length. Their secondary structure includes four short double-helical elements and three loops (D, anti-codon, and T loops). Lineage: Bacteria; Pseudomonadati; Pseudomonadota; Alphaproteobacteria; Acetobacterales; Acetobacteraceae. The record is from RNAcentral.